GGGCCCGCACAAGCGGUGGAGCAUGUGGUUUAAUUCGAUGCAACGCGAAGAACCUUACCUACCCUUGAAUCUACAGGAAUUUGCAAGAGAUUGCGAAGUACCUUCGGGACCUGUAAGACAGGUGCUGCAUGGCUGUCGUCAGCUCGUGUCGUGAGAUGUUGGGUUAAGUCCCGUAACGAGCGCAACCCUUGUCCUUAGUUGCCAGCAAGAAAGAUGGGGAAUCUAAGGAGACUGCCGGUGAUAAACCGGAGGAAGGUGGGGACGAUGUCAAGUCAUCAUGGCCCUUAUGGGUAGGGCUACACACGUCAUACAAUGGCUGGUACAAAGGGUUGCCAACCCGCGAGGGGAGCUAAUCCCAUAAAGCCAGUCGUAGUCCGGAUCGUAGUCUGCAACUCGACUGCGUGAAGUCGGAAUC
Molecule: ribosomal RNA, 415 nt
Filed under: uncultured bacterium
Lineage: Bacteria
Description: bacterial SSU rRNA
Rfam family: Bacterial small subunit ribosomal RNA
Source: RNAcentral